ACGGGUGCGUAACACGUGGGUAACCUGCCCUUUGAUGGGGAAUAACCUCGCGAAAGCGAGGCUAAUUCCGCAUAAGAUCCGCAAGGAUGAAAGCCGUAAGGCGUCGAAGGAGGGGCCCGCGCACGAUUAGCUAGUUGGUAGGGUAAUGGCCUACCAAGGCUUUGAUCGUUAGCUGGUCUGAGAGGAUGGCCAGCCACACUGGAACUGAGACACGGUCCAGACUCCUACGGGAGGCAGCAGUGGGGAAUCUUGCACAAUGGGCGAAAGCCUGAUGCAGCGACGCCGCGUGGGGGAUGAAGCUUUUCGGAGUGUAAACCCCUUUCGACCCGGACGAAUACCUCGCAAGAGGGGUGACGGUACGGGUAUAAGAAGCCCCGGCUAACUACGUGCCAGCAGCCGCGG
This 402-nucleotide ribosomal RNA is filed under the name uncultured bacterium. RNAcentral describes it as "bacterial SSU rRNA". It matches the Rfam family "Bacterial small subunit ribosomal RNA", at positions 102 to 520 of the family's 1533-position model. The record is from RNAcentral.